This 468-nucleotide ribosomal RNA is filed under the name uncultured bacterium. RNAcentral's name for it is "partial 16S ribosomal RNA". It matches the Rfam family "Bacterial small subunit ribosomal RNA", at positions 28 to 507 of the family's 1533-position model. The record is from RNAcentral.
GACGAACGCUGGCGGCGUGCUUAACACAUGCAAGUCGAACGGAAAGGCCCUGCUUUUGUGGGGUGCUCGAGUGGCGAACGGGUGAGUAACACGUGAGUAACCUGCCCUUGACUUUGGGAUAACUUCAGGAAACUGGGGCUAAUACCGGAUAGGAGCUCCUGCUGCAUGGGGGGGGUUGGAAAGUUUCGGCGGUUGGGGAUGGACUCGCGGCUUAUCAGCUUGUUGGUGGGGUAGUGGCUUACCAAGGCUUUGACGGGUAGCCGGCCUGAGAGGGUGACCGGCCACAUGGGGACUGAGAUACGGCCCAGACUCCUACGGGAGGCAGCAGUGGGGAAUAUUGCACAAUGGGCGGAAGCGUGAUGCAGCAACGCCGCGUGCGGGAUGACGGCCUUCGGGUUGUAAACCGCUUUCGCCUGUGACGAAGCGUGAGUGACGGUAAUGGGUAAAGAAGCACCGGCUAACUACGUG